RNAcentral lists this ribosomal RNA (253 nucleotides) under uncultured Caldilinea sp. RNAcentral's name for it is "partial 16S ribosomal RNA". It matches the Rfam family "Bacterial small subunit ribosomal RNA", at positions 524 to 776 of the family's 1533-position model. The record is from RNAcentral. Lineage: Bacteria; Bacillati; Chloroflexota; Caldilineae; Caldilineales; Caldilineaceae.
AACGUAGGAGGCGAGCGUUAUCCGGAUUUACUGGGCGUAAAGCGCACGCAGGCGGCGGGGCCAGUCGGACGUGAAAGCUCCUGGCUUAACUGGGAGAGGUCGUUCGAUACUGCCCGGCUUGAGGUUGGGAGAGGGGUGCGGAAUUCCCGGUGUAGUGGUGGAAUGCGUAGAUAUCGGGAGGAACACCAGUGGCGAAGGCGGCACCCUGGCCCACACCUGACGCUGAGGUGCGAAAGCGUGGGGAGCAAACAGG